This 499-nucleotide ribosomal RNA is filed under the name uncultured bacterium. Its description in RNAcentral is "partial 16S ribosomal RNA". It matches the Rfam family "Bacterial small subunit ribosomal RNA", at positions 28 to 507 of the family's 1533-position model. The record is from RNAcentral.
GACGAACGCUGGCGGCGUGCUUAACACAUGCCAGUCGAACGGGCCCGCCCCUGUUUUUGGGGGUGGGUUGAGUGGCGAACGGGUGAGUAUCACGUGAGUAACCUGCCCCCUGCUCCUGGAUAACUGCUUGAAAGGGCGGCUAAUACGGGGUGUGCCGGCUGGUCCGCAUGGGCCUGGUCGGGAUAGUUUCAUCUUCGGGUGUUUCGGUGGGGGAUGGGCUCGCGGCCUAUCAGCUUGUUGGUGGGGUGAUGGCCCACCAAGGCGGUGACGGGUAGCCGGCCUGAGAGGGUGGGCGGCCACACUGGGACUGAGACACGGCCCAGACUCCUGCGGGAGGCAGCAGUGGGGGGUAUUGCACAAUGGGCGGAAGCCGGAUGCAGCGACGUCGCGUGAGGGAUGGAGGCCUUCGGGUUGUGAACCUCUUUCUCCGGUGGUGAAGGCCCUGUCCGUUGCGGCGGGGUUGACGGUAGCCGGGUAUGAAGCGCCGGCUAACUACGUG